Molecule: long non-coding RNA, 1068 nt
Organism: Cyprinus carpio (common carp)
Lineage: Eukaryota; Metazoa; Chordata; Actinopteri; Cypriniformes; Cyprinidae
Source: Ensembl
CAAGGCUAAACUCCCCUCUUGGAUCAGAUUGGAGGUCAGGAAAGAGCCCCAGUCAGUCUGGAAUAGAGACUCUGCGCAGAAAGUCAGUGGAGUCGGUGACCGCACAGAGGUUUGACAUUUAAAAUAUGAUCAGAGAAAGAAAUUUAGGAAAUGCCAUUAGAGAAGUGGCUGUGUCUCUGUGAUAAUAUAGUAAUUUGAUAAUAUAGGCUGUAAUAAUAUAGUAAUAAUAAUAAAAAAAAAAAUCUGAACACUUAGAAAAUGAGCUGUAAUAAUUAAUACUGGACUACAGGAUACAUUUAGUGAUCAUAUAAAAUGGACAUCAUUUAUGAUACAAAAUGUUUAAUAAUUUCUUUGAAACAUUUCUGUCAGUUUAAGAAGGUUCUCCAAACCCAACUGCUUUGAUAAGAAGUUUCUUAUUUUUGGCUCAGAACCUGAAGAGCAGCAGGACAGGUCAGUGCACCUGCUUAUCUAUAUAAUGUUUUGCCAUGUUAAUUUCACAUUCUUUGAAUAUUUUUGCAUUUCUAAGUGUUCCCUUUAAAGCCUCAAUCACCAGUAUUCUGUAGAAAGCCAAUGAUAUUCUCCUCUUGGUGGCAGAGGUACUAUGAAAAAAAUAUUAAGACAGUCAGUUUGUAUUUAGCAAAUAAGAUGUUAAAACAGUUGAUUUUGGAGUGCAACUGAGCUAUGUGUCACCAUCAGGAGUUCUAUAAGAAGAAAGAGUGCCGCCCCAUUACUUGGCCUGAGCAACUGCAGGAGACAUUUAAUCAGUGUGCAGAGGAGAUACACAAAAGACUUCUCAUCUACCAGAGCCAGUCACAUGAUUACCACAACAGAUGGCUGCAAGAAUUUCAGCUGCAGUUGAAGGCCAUUGAGGAGUUUCUGUCCAGCGUACCAGAGAAGCUUUUUUCUAAACUAAUAGAUCGAUAUCUUGAGAAGCUGAUGCAAAGCAUGACACAAAUUCAACACCGGUUUCAACUAGCUCAGCAGCGGAGUGAACAAAAGAGGUGGGCUGCUGUCAUAGAGGGAACACAGUGGUCAGUUGCAUGUGCGUCUGAGCCAUCCAGCCUGUGA